This 301-nucleotide ribosomal RNA is filed under the name uncultured bacterium. Its description in RNAcentral is "partial 16S ribosomal RNA". It matches the Rfam family "Bacterial small subunit ribosomal RNA", at positions 509 to 807 of the family's 1533-position model. The record is from RNAcentral.
CAGCAGCCACGGUAAUACGUAGGGUGCGAGCGUUAAUCGGAAUUACUGGGCGUAAAGCGUGCGCAGGCGGUUUUGUAAGACAGGCGUGAAAUCCCCGGGCUCAACCUGGGAAUGGCGCUUGUGACUGCAAAGCUAGAGUGCGGCAGAGGGGGAUGGAAUUCCGCGUGUAGCAGUGAGAUGCGUAGAUAUGCGGAGGAACACCGAUGGCGAAGGCAAUCCCCUGGGCCUGCACUGACGCUCAUGCACGAAAGCGUGGGGAGCAAACAGGAUUAGAUACCCCUGUAGUCCCUGUCUCUUAUAC